Molecule: long non-coding RNA, 2078 nt
Filed under: Pan troglodytes (chimpanzee)
Lineage: Eukaryota; Metazoa; Chordata; Mammalia; Primates; Hominidae
Description: lincRNA
Source: RNAcentral
GCGGUGGUGGGUCCCAACCGGCGGUACCGGGUUCUGUCCCGACCAGCGGUGCUAGGUUCGGUUCGGACGCGCGCUGCUGGAUCUAAAUGGGCAGUGCUGGGUCCGAUGGGUGGUGCUGUGUUCGGUCCGGACGCGCGGUGCAGAGUCCGGACGGGCGGUGCUGGAUCCAAAUGGGCGGUACUGGAUCUGGACGGGCGGUGAUGGGUCCGAUGGGCGGUGCUACGUUCGGUUCGGACGGGCGGUGCUGGGUCUAAAUGGGCGCUGCUGGGUCCGAUGGGCGGUGCUGGGUUCGGUCCGGACGGGCGGGGACGGGCGGUGCUGGGUCCAAAUGGGUGGUGAUGGAUCUGUGCACGGGCGGUGCUGGUUCCGGACGGGCGGUGCUGGGUCCGGACGGGCGGUGGGUCCGAUGGGCGGUGCUAGGUUCGGUUCGGAUGGGUGGUGCUAGGUCUAAAUGGGCGGCGCCGGAUCCGAUGGGCGGUGCGGGGUUGGGUCCGGACUGGCGGGUCUGGGUCUGGACGGGCGGUUCUGGGUCUGGACGGGCGGUGCAGUAUCCAAAUGGGCGGUGCUGGGUCCGGACGGGCGGUGCUAGGUUCGGUCCGGACGGGUGGUGCUGGGUCUAAAUGGGCGGUGCUAGGCUCAGCAGGGGACCGGUGGGCGUGGCGGCACAGGUACGGAGCGCAGGGCGGGUGCAGCGCCCUCUCCGAAGGGCCCUGCGCUCCCCGCGCUCGCUGCUCCUCCCGCCCGCGCAUUGCCCCGGGGCUGCUGCGUGUUUCUUCCAGGGUGAUUCCUUUCCGCUGGGGUUACUUCAAAGCCGACCUUUUCAAGCUGUUUUCUUCCGCGGAGGACACGUUGUUAGGCUUUGUGUGCAUUUCAAGGGUCAUGUUUUCUGAACCGCGCUCCGCCGCUCUUGGGGUGUUCGAGCCCCCACACUGCUGUGCGGUGUUCCUCUCACAGAGUGAGGUUGGAGGGUCCCACUGCCUUUGUGUGUCUCCUUAGAAAACGCCUCUUCUCUCAGACACAUUGUUAUCUGCCAAUCCUUCGCAGACGUAGAGAACGGACUGCAGAGUUAAUAAACGUCGAGGGGAAGCUUUGAUGCUCCCCAGUUGGCCCUGAGAGAUGCCACGUGAGCGUCAUUUUAAAUCCUUUCCUGGGCUUCCCGAUGGACUCGAGUUUUUACUAUGUGAGCAUCCCCGUGCCUGCACAGCAAGGACUCUCAUUGGGUUCCACACGUGCUGCGCAGAUCCCUGACACAGCGUUCACUGAACCUCAACUGCAGAAGCUUCAUUCCUGAGGAUGCUGUUACCAAGAAUGACUUGCCUCUUGAAGAAUGAGUUUGCAAAGCCUGCAGUUAGAUUGCUGAUGUCCAAAGUAAGUAUGUGUAGCAUCACUAAAGAGAAAAUUCAGGAUUCCUGGAAAACAGUUAUGGGCUCUCUGCAGUGUUAUUUUUGUAAUAAAAAACAUAUAGCAUAUGUGAAAUACCUACUGGGUGAUGCAGGACACAUAGAAGGCUCGAAAUUAAUGUGAAUCAUUCUCGUUUUUCUGACUGUCAUUAAAAGUCCCCAUUUGUAUUAUGUAUGAGUGGUAUAUCAAUAUCUAAACUACACUUCAUUGUAGGUCCCAACCAACAUUAGUUUAUUGACAAAUGUUUAAGAGCAGCCAAAAAUUCAUAGAAUACCUAUGAUUCUUAAGUCAUGAACACGCCCAUAACUGGUAUAUGUUUAGGACAUGAAAAUUUCCAGGCUGACAAAUCAUUUCGCUGUCAUCGGUCAAGACUCCGGGAUGAUAUUCUGAGCCAUAUGUUAAUUUUGAUAACCACGUAGAACAAUAAAAGGUAAACAUGCUCCCAUCUUCUAUUCUCAUUGCACCACUGGAUUCUGGUACAUCUAAAAAUUGUACUUAAAUGAUAUCCAAGAAAUGCUGUAUAAAAACAAAAUAGGGCCGGGCGCAGUGGCUCACACCUGUAAUCCCAGCAUUUUGGGAGGCCAAGGCGGGUGGAUCACGAGGUCAGGAGAUCAAGACCAUCCUGGCUAACAUGGUGAAACCCCGUCUCUACUAAAAAUACAAAAAAAAAAAAAAAA